This 30-nucleotide non-coding RNA is filed under the name Homo sapiens (human). Lineage: Eukaryota; Metazoa; Chordata; Mammalia; Primates; Hominidae. The record is from RNAcentral.
CAGGUGGUCUGUCUGCAAGACAGAAGUGUC